GGUGGCUUGGGUUCCAUUUACGUCUGGGCUUCAGGCAAUGGGGGUGCCAGCUUUGACAACUGCAACUGCGAUGGUUACACCAACAGCAUUUACACAUUGUCUGUUGGUAGUACCACCGAGAAGGGAACUCUGCUCUUCUACAGUGAACCCUGCUCGGCCAUUCUAACAACUACCUACACUGGUGGAAGCUUUCAACACCACAGAAUUGUCACCACUGACCUGCAUCAGUCCUGCACCUCUGACCAUACUGGGACCUCUGCCUCUGCCCCUCUGGCUGCUGGGAUCAUUGCACUGGCUCUGGAGGCAAACCCAAGACUUACCUGGCGUGAUGUGCAACACCUCGUGGUGCGAGCAUCAAGACUGGCAGAUCUUCGAGCGCAUGAUUGGCGGCCCAAUGGUGUUGGUA
Non-coding RNA from Salmo salar (Atlantic salmon), 406 nucleotides. The record is from RefSeq and is a predicted model, not a curated record. NCBI's taxonomy places the organism in Eukaryota, Metazoa, Chordata, Actinopteri, Salmoniformes, Salmonidae.